Molecule: small RNA, 78 nt
Filed under: Flavobacterium pectinovorum
Lineage: Bacteria; Pseudomonadati; Bacteroidota; Flavobacteriia; Flavobacteriales; Flavobacteriaceae
Description: Flavo-1 RNA
Rfam family: Flavo-1 RNA
Source: RNAcentral
CCCUAGCCCCGAUAGAAGUGGAAAUCCUUUUGUGUAAUGAAAUGGAGCAAAAGAUUGCAACGGAUAGCGGGAUUUGCU